CAAGUCUUGACAUCGGAAUGACCGUCUCGUAACGGAGACUUCCCUUCGGGGCAUUCCAGACAGGUGGUGCAUGGUUGUCGUCAGCUCGUGUCGUGAGAUGUUGGGUUAAGUCCCGCAACGAGCGCAACCCUUAUCCUUAGUAGCCAGCAGUUCGGCUGGGCACUCUGGGGAGACUGCCAGGGAUAACCUGGAGGAAGGUGGGGAUGACGUCAAAUCAUCAUGCCCCUUAUGAUUUGGGCUACACACGUGCUACAAUGGCGUAAACAAAGGGAAGCGAAGGAGUGAUCCGGAGCAAAUCUCAAAAAUAACGUCUCAGUUCGGAUUGUAGUCUGCAA
Molecule: ribosomal RNA, 335 nt
Filed under: uncultured bacterium
Lineage: Bacteria
Description: bacterial SSU rRNA
Rfam family: Bacterial small subunit ribosomal RNA
Source: RNAcentral